GGCGCAAGCCUGAUCCAGCCAUGCCGCGUGAGUGAAGAAGGCCUUCGGGUUGUAAACUGCUUUUGGCAGGAAAGAAAUCGUCAGGGCUAAUACACCUGGAUGAUGACGGUACCUGAAGAAUAAGCACCGGCUAACUACGUGCCAGCAGCCGCGGUAAUACGUAGGGUGCGAGCGUUAAUCGGAAUUACUGGGCGUAAAGCGUGCGCAGGCGGUUUUGUAAGACAGGUGUGAAAUCCCCGGGCUCAACCUGGGAACUGCGUUUGUGACUGCACGGCUAGAGUAUGGCAGAGGGGGAUGGAAUUCCACGUGUAGCAGUGAAAUGCGUAGAUAUGUGGAGGAACACCGAUGGCGAAGGCAAUCCCCUGGGCCUGUACUGACGCUCAUGCACGAAAGCGUGGGGAGCAAACAGGAUUAGAUACCCUGGUAGUCCACGCCCUAAACGAUGUCAACUGGGUGUUGGACGACGAGAUGCUCUGUAUAGAACCUCACACGUGAGAUUUACAGCGUGGGGAGUGUAGCGGCGCGGUAGAAACUCUCAGA
RNAcentral lists this ribosomal RNA (540 nucleotides) under beta proteobacterium enrichment culture. RNAcentral describes it as "bacterial SSU rRNA". It matches the Rfam family "Bacterial small subunit ribosomal RNA", at positions 374 to 907 of the family's 1533-position model. The record is from RNAcentral. Lineage: Bacteria; Pseudomonadati; Pseudomonadota; Betaproteobacteria.